RNAcentral lists this ribosomal RNA (676 nucleotides) under uncultured Staphylococcus sp. RNAcentral's name for it is "bacterial SSU rRNA". It matches the Rfam family "Bacterial small subunit ribosomal RNA", at positions 64 to 722 of the family's 1533-position model. Lineage: Bacteria; Bacillati; Bacillota; Bacilli; Caryophanales; Staphylococcaceae. The record is from RNAcentral.
GAGCGAACGGACGAGAAGCUUGCUUCUCUGAUGUUAGCGGCGGACGGGUGAGUAACACGUGGAUAACCUACCUAUAAGACUGGGAUAACUUCGGGAAACCGGAGCUAAUACCGGAUAAUAUUUUGAACCGCAUGGUUCAAAAGUGAAAGACGGUCUUGCUGUCACUUAUAGAUGGAUCCGCGCUGCAUUAGCUAGUUGGUAAGGUAACGGCUUACCAAGGCAACGAUGCAUAGCCGACCUGAGAGGGUGAUCGGCCACACUGGAACUGAGACACGGUCCAGACUCCUACGGGAGGCAGCAGUAGGGAAUCUUCCGCAAUGGGCGAAAGCCUGACGGAGCAACGCCGCGUGAGUGAUGAAGGUCUUCGGAUCGUAAAACUCUGUUAUUAGGGAAGAACAUAUGUGUAAGUAACUGUGCACAUCUUGACGGUACCUAAUCAGAAAGCCACGGCUAACUACGUGCCAGCAGCCGCGGUAAUACGUAGGUGGCAAGCGUUAUCCGGAAUUAUUGGGCGUAAAGCGCGCGUAGGCGGUUUUUUAAGUCUGAUGUGAAAGCCCACGGCUCAACCGUGGAGGGUCAUUGGAAACUGGAAAACUUGAGUGCAGAAGAGGAAAGUGGAAUUCCAUGUGUAGCGGUGAAAUGCGCAGAGAUAUGGAGGAACACCAGUGGCGAAGGC